CCUACGGGGGGCUGCAGUGGGGAAUAUUGGACAAUGGGCGCAAGCCUGAUCCAGCAAUACCGCGUGUGUGAAGAAGGCCUGAGGGUUGUAAAGCACUUUCAAUUGUGAAGAAAGGUUGUGGAUUAAUACUCCAUAAUUUUGACGUUAACUUUAGAAGAAGCACCGGCUAACCCUGUGCCAGCAGCCGCGGAAAUACAGGGGGUGCGAGCGUUAAUCGGAAUUACUGGGCGUAAAGCGUGCGUAGGCGGAUAUUUAAGUCAGAUGUGAAAGCCCCGGGCUCAACCUGGGAACUGCAUUUGAAACUGGAUAUCUAGAGUUUGGUAGAGGCGGGUAGAAUUCCUAGUGUAGCGGUGAAAUGCGUAGAUAUUAGGAGGAAUACCAGUGGCGAAGGCGGCCCGCUGGACCAAAACUGACGCUGAGGUACGAAAGCGUGGGGAGCAAACAGGAUUAGAUACCCCUGUAGUC
This 465-nucleotide ribosomal RNA is filed under the name uncultured bacterium. RNAcentral's name for it is "bacterial SSU rRNA". It matches the Rfam family "Bacterial small subunit ribosomal RNA", at positions 338 to 795 of the family's 1533-position model. The record is from RNAcentral.